RNAcentral lists this ribosomal RNA (253 nucleotides) under uncultured bacterium. RNAcentral's name for it is "partial 16S ribosomal RNA". It matches the Rfam family "Bacterial small subunit ribosomal RNA", at positions 524 to 776 of the family's 1533-position model. The record is from RNAcentral.
UACGGGGGGAGCAAGCGUUGUUCGGAUUUACUGGGCGUAAAGGGCGCGUAGGCGGCCUUCUAAGUCAGACGUGAAAUCCCCCGGCUUAACCUGGGAACUGCGUCUGAUACUGGGAGGCUAGAGUAUGGGAGAGGGAUGUAGAAUUCCAGGUGUAGUGGUGAAAUGCGUAGAGAUCCGGAGGAACCCCAGAGGCGAAGGCGGCAUCCUGGCCCAUUACCGACACUCAGACACGACAGCAUGGGGAGCGAACGGG